CGCCCUUAGAGUUUGAUCAUGGCUCAGAUUGAACGCUGGCGGCAGGCCUAACACAUGCAAGUCGGACGGUAAGAGAGCUUGCUCUCGACGAGUGGCGGACGGGUGAGUAAUGUCUGGGAAACUGCCCGAUGGAGGGGGAUAACUACUGGAAACGGUAGCUAAUACCGCAUAACGUCGCAAGACCAAAGUGGUUCGUCACACCAUCGGAUGUGCCCAGAUGGGAUUAGCUAGUAGGUGGGGUAACGGCUCACCUAAGCGACGAUCCCUAGCUGGUCUGAGAGGAUGACCAGCCACACUGGAACUGAGACACGGUCCAGACUCCUACGGGAGGCAGCAGUGGGGAAUAUUGCACAAUGGGCGCAAGCCUGAUGCAGCCAUGCCGCGUGUAUGAAGAAGGCCUUCGGGUUGUAAAGUACUUUCAGCGGGGAGGAAGGGGGCGAAGUAAUCUUCGUUCUUGACGUUACCCGCAGAAGAAGCACCGGCUAACUCCGUGCCAGCAGCCGCGGUAAUACGGAGGGUGCAAGCGUUAAUCGGAAUUACUGGGCGUAAAGCG
RNAcentral lists this ribosomal RNA (553 nucleotides) under uncultured Pantoea sp. Its description in RNAcentral is "bacterial SSU rRNA". It matches the Rfam family "Bacterial small subunit ribosomal RNA", at positions 1 to 567 of the family's 1533-position model. The record is from RNAcentral. Lineage: Bacteria; Pseudomonadati; Pseudomonadota; Gammaproteobacteria; Enterobacterales; Erwiniaceae.